Molecule: long non-coding RNA, 178 nt
Organism: Leopardus geoffroyi (Geoffroy's cat)
Lineage: Eukaryota; Metazoa; Chordata; Mammalia; Carnivora; Felidae
Exons: 2
Source: RefSeq, a predicted model, not a curated record
GGGGUGCCUGUGUGGCUCAGUCGGUUGAGCACCUGACUUUGGCUCAGGUCAUGAUCUCACAGCUUGCACGUUCCAGCCCCCCAUCGGACUCUGUUCUAACAGCUCAGAGCCUAGAGCCUGCUUCAGAUUCUGUGUCUCCCUCUCUCUCUGCUCCUCCCCUGCUCAUGCUUUCUCUCUC